GGGGGUGUCUUGGUUUCGACUGAGAGCCGGAAGGUGUAGUGGCAUGUCGGAGAUAAUGGUUGGCUCCGUAAAAAUCCAUUAAAAAAAUUAAACGGCAAAAAGAAUAAAGCUGUUGCAACUCUGUACGUCGACAAUGUCGUGAGAAAUCUCGACUUUGGCUGCGUUAUGAGUAAAGCUGCGUAGAUUGACGUGGCGCAUCAACCGCAGAAUGCUCGCUACUGCGGAUUUGGUGUCGACUAGCGAGUGAAGCGUAAAGUAGACCGACAGGCUUUGCGUGGAUCCGAAAUUGCCGGUAAGGUUGUUGCGAUUGUGUUUAUUUAAGCGCCUCAGCCGAGAUCAAACAAUAAACUAAACAUGUAGAGGCUAUGCGUGAACGUUCACAGGACGCGGGUUCGACUCCCGCCACCUCCACCC
RNAcentral lists this transfer-messenger RNA (414 nucleotides) under Puniceicoccales bacterium. It matches the Rfam family "transfer-messenger RNA". From Rfam's summary of the family: Bacterial tmRNA, also known as 10Sa RNA or SsrA, is named for its dual tRNA and mRNA-like properties. The record is from RNAcentral. Lineage: Bacteria; Pseudomonadati; Verrucomicrobiota; Opitutia; Puniceicoccales.